CUCUCUGACAUACGGACCUCGUGAACAGAGUUCGUGUUUGUGAGAAUGGCCUGUUUUUCAAUCUAGCUAAGAAUAUUCCAAGUGAUACUGGAACAUCUAUGGGAGAAGAAAUCUUAAGAACGUUCGAAAAUGCUCAAGAGGGGAACAGCUUGGAGCACAAUCAAGAUAUGGGGGUUCUGAGCAGAACUUGACAGUUGGCCUUACAACAUAUGAUGUGGCCUACAAUCAGGAAGACCCUGGAUUCUCAGAAGCCAUUCCAGACUGGGAACAACUUCCCUCUUUUUCCUUUGCCUUGGAAAAGGAAAUGCACUGCACCAUACCUUUGUCCAAAUAGAUUGUUAAAAUGAGUAUGUACUCUUUGAAGGUCAGUUAAGAUACUGUGGGUUCUUGGGGCGCCUGGGUGGCUCAGUGGGUUAAAGCCUCUGCCUUCGGGUUAGGUCAUGAUCCCAGGGUCCUGGGAUUGAGCCCCGCAUUGGGCUCUCUGCUCAGCAGGGAGCCUGUUUCCUCCUCUCUCUGCCGCCUGCCUCUCUGCCUACUUGUGAUUGAAGGAGCAGGAGGCU
Molecule: long non-coding RNA, 560 nt
Organism: Mustela lutreola (European mink)
Lineage: Eukaryota; Metazoa; Chordata; Mammalia; Carnivora; Mustelidae
Exons: 3
Source: RefSeq, a predicted model, not a curated record